Molecule: non-coding RNA, 475 nt
Organism: Arachis ipaensis
Lineage: Eukaryota; Viridiplantae; Streptophyta; Magnoliopsida; Fabales; Fabaceae
Source: RefSeq, a predicted model, not a curated record
AUGCUAAUUUUGAAGUUUAUGGUGGUGCAAUGGGAUUGAGUUCUUGCUGUUCAUAUAUGGUGGGGCUCCAUACCAGACUCAGGAGAGUAAGCUUAGGAGAGGUGUUGAUAUUGUUGUUGGCACUCCAGGUCGCGUGAAGGAUCAUAUAGAGAGGGAAAAUAUUGACCUGAUCCAGCUAAAGUUCCGUGUCCUUGAUGAGGCUAAUGAGAUGCUCAGAAUGAGUUUUGUUGAAGAUGUGGAACUAAUUUUAGGCAAGGUACAAGAUGUUAGCAAAGUUCAUACACUUCUUUUCAAUACUACUUUGCCAGACUGGGUUAAACAUAUUUCUGGAAAAUUUCUGAAACUAGAUAAAAAAAAUUGCAGAUCUGGUGGGAAAUGCAAAAAUGAAGGCUAGCACCAAUGUUAGACAUAUUGUUCUUCCAUGUAACGUUUCUGCCAGGGCCCAGCUUAUCCCAGACAUUAUACGCUGUUAUAG